This 245-nucleotide ribosomal RNA is filed under the name uncultured bacterium. Its description in RNAcentral is "partial 16S ribosomal RNA". It matches the Rfam family "Bacterial small subunit ribosomal RNA", at positions 524 to 768 of the family's 1533-position model. The record is from RNAcentral.
UACGGAGGAUCCAAGCGUUAUCCGGAUUCAUUGGGUUUAAAGGGUGCGCAGGCGGAAUUUCAAGUCAGUGGUGAAAUCCUACGGCUUAACUGUAGAACUGCCAUUGAUACUGUUGUUCUUGAGUACAUUUGGAGUGGGCGGAAUGUGUCAUGUAGCGGUGAAAUGCUUAGAUAUGACACAGAACACCGAUCGCGAAGGCAGCUCACUAAGUUGUAACUGACGCUCAGGCACGAAAGCGUGGGGAU